This 468-nucleotide ribosomal RNA is filed under the name uncultured bacterium. RNAcentral's name for it is "partial 16S ribosomal RNA". It matches the Rfam family "Bacterial small subunit ribosomal RNA", at positions 28 to 507 of the family's 1533-position model. The record is from RNAcentral.
GACGAACGCUGGCGGCGUGCUUAACACAUGCAAGUCGAACGGAAAGGCCCUGCUUUUGUGGGGUGCUCGAGUGGCGAACGGGUGAGUAACACGUGAGUAACCUGCCCUUGACUUUGGGAUAACUUCAGGAAACUGGGGCUAAUACCGGAUAGGAGCUCCUGCUGCAUGGUGGGGGUUGGAAAGUUUCGGCGGUUGGGGAUGGACUCGCGGCUUAUCAGCUUGUUGGUGGGGUAGUGGCUUACCAAGGCUUUGACGGGUAGCCGGCCUGAGAGGGUGACCGGACACAUUGGGACUGAGAUACGGCCCAGACUACAACGGGAGGCAGCAGUGGGGAAUAUUGCACAAUGGGCGGAAGCCUGAUGCAGCAAAGCCGCGUGCGGGAUGACGGCCUUCGGGUUGUAAACCGCUUUCGCCUGUGACGAAGCGUGAGUGACGGUAAUGGGUAAAGAAGCACCGGCUAACUACGUG